AAUCCAUGUUGUGGGCAAGUUCUCAGGAGCUCCUUGAACCUUUACCACAUCUCAAAUAGAGACUCCAACUCUGACUAUACAAAGGAUGAGAUCUCAUUCCUAAGCUU
Small nucleolar RNA from Dioscorea cayenensis subsp. rotundata (Guinea yam), 107 nucleotides. The record is from RefSeq and is a predicted model, not a curated record. NCBI's taxonomy places the organism in Eukaryota, Viridiplantae, Streptophyta, Magnoliopsida, Dioscoreales, Dioscoreaceae.